This 2893-nucleotide long non-coding RNA is filed under the name Canis lupus familiaris (dog). RNAcentral's name for it is "lncRNA (ENSCAFG00000050685.1)". Lineage: Eukaryota; Metazoa; Chordata; Mammalia; Carnivora; Canidae. The record is from RNAcentral.
UCAGGCUGGAUCCCAGGACCCUGAGAUCAUGACCCUUAUACGAGGAAGACAGACACUGGGCAGAAAGAGCUGCUAACCCAGGCACCCCUUAAUUGAUUUUUUGAAAGAAAAAAAAAAGCCAAGAAUAGUGCAAGAAUGCUCUUUUCAUAAAUUUCUACUAGGCCAACUGAAUAGCCAUAUGCUAAAGAGAGAGGUUUAUCCUUACAGGGUACCACAUACAAUGGAUUUACCAGAAAGGAUAAACACUUAAACAUAAGAGUAAAUUAUAACAUUUAGAUAAACAUAGAGAACAAUUCUUGACUUGUAUUUGGCAAAGAAUUGGUAGCUAAGACACCAAGAGCAAGAAUGGGAAAAAAAUAGGUAAUUUGGACUUCAUCAAAUCAGUGACUUUUGGGCAUUGAAGGAUGCCAUCAAGAAAGUGAAAACACACUUUGAAGCCCUUGUGGCACUUUUGCUGAGAAUAUAAAAUCGUGUUGAUGGUAUGAAAAACAAACUGACAGGAUAGUUUUUUUGAGGUGAUGAAAAUGUUCAAAAUUGUGGUGAUUGCAUAGAACUGCGAAUUUUUUUAGAACUACUGAAGUCUACACUUUAAUGGGGGGGGGGUGCAGCAUGUGCCUUACAUCUCAGUAAAGCUAUUCAAAUAAAGAAGUGCAUCAAGAGUUUUGCAAUGGGAAAGAGUACUGCAAUCCAGGCUUUAAGGCAUACAUGGAUUUCCAGGUUAAUUAAUUAAUGCUACAUCACCUCAUGGUGUGUGUGUGUGUGUGUGUGUGUGUGUGUGUGUGUGUUGUAAAAAACAAAGUUCAAAUUGAGAUAGUUUUUUGGAGUAGGGUUGUUUUUGGGGUCUGGAGCGAACAGCCAAGGAAGAAUUCUUGAGAUGUCUUAUGGUGUGCAAAAAGGCAAUUUUUUAAAGUACAGGGACAGGACCUCUGGGCAGAAAGAGCUGCUAACCCAGAAUUGUGAGGGGAACUGAUUAUAUACUUUGAGUUGGAGAGGUAAAGACAAAAGGAAGUUCCAGAAGGACUUUGGUCUUGCUAUUGUCAAACUAAAGUUGUUUUUUCCCUCUAGCAAAGCAGUUGGGUGCUUCAAAGCGGAAUGUUAUAAUCUGCCUACAUCAAGUAUUUGUCAAUGGGAUGCAGGUUAUAAGGACAUUUUAUCUACUUUCCUUCCAGCUUUGUUUCCCACAACAAAAGGAGUAAAUUGGAGAUCUAAUUGGCUUUAUUAAGUGAUUUGUAACUCUGGCAGCAUCCCAAAUAGCAAGAAGUGGGGUUUUCUGCUGAGUUAAAUGAAAGGGAAGUUUUUAAAGGCAAAGAAAGGGCACAAAGAAAGGAAUUUAUUAGCAAGGAAUGCAUUGUUUAGACAAGGCCACUUUCCUAAGGGGAGCAGAAGGGGGUGUAGCAAUAAAUUUCAUAGUAUGGCCAGGGAAAUUCCAUGUUGACUGAUUAAAGGUUUUAUGGGAGGCGGGGGGAUUUGAAACUGUAGGUAAGUCAGGUAUUAAGUAGUUUGUUGAUUUGGGGCCUUAAGUGGCUACAUCGUACGUCUGCAGUUUCUUUUUAACUGUGUGUGUGGUGGGGCUUAAGAUCUGAUGGGGGAAACAAAGGCAAAAGUAAAAUUAUUAAAUUUCCUCACUACCUACAGCCCAUUGACGAGUCCUUGAAACAGGCAGGGUGACAUUCCUCUAGGGACUCAACUGCCUGGAUGUUAAUACUUUGCUAAGGGCAAAAGGCACUUUUAGUCCAACCCCCAGGAUCCUGUAAAUCUACUUUGACAUAUAAAAAUUCCUUUGGACACUUCCUUUAUCUCUAUACUCCCUUUCUGCUGAUAGAUAUAUGUUGGCAUAUAUGUUGACAAUCAACCCCCAAGCAUAUGGCCCACCGAUAUACAUCUGAAGGGUCUCAUGACUAAGGUUUUAUUAGAUGGUAAUAAAUUCUCUUUUCCCAACAAUAGUUAGCCCCCUGAAGGUCCUGGAGACCUUGGUUCCAAAUUCCUUAGAGACUUAGGCUGUCCCCAACCCCCUCCCAACUUCAACAUAUAUAAUGGGCCACUCCUCAUGACCCCAGUGCAGUUCUUUCUGCCCAUGGGUCCUGUCCCUGUGAUGUGGGAAACAAAGGCAGAAGAAAAAUUAUUAAAUUUCCUUACUACCUACAGCCCAUUGACAAGAUCUUGAAACAAGUGGAGUGAGAUUCUUCUAAGGACUCAACUGCCCCGAAGUUAAUACUUUGCUAAGGGCAAAAGGCAAUCUUAGCCCAGAAUCCUGUAAGUCUACUUUGACGUAUAAAAAUUCCUUUAGAAUUUUACUCACUUAUUUAUUUAUAAAUUUAUUUAUUUAUUUAUUUAUUUUCUUCACUUUACUUACUCUCACAGGAGAGUGAGUAAAGCAAUAGAAGUUUAUUAAGCAAAGGUACAGAGAAAGUUCUCAGAAGUGAGAGGGGUCCCAACAGGGUUGCCACUGCGGGCUUUUUGACUGGCCUGUUAUUGGGAACCUAACCAGGGAACCCAAGGCCUUGAGACUUCUUUGUGCUGUCUCAAGUGUUUGACAUAUGACUGUUUUGGGGUCUGUUGAAUCUUUGGGAUUGUUUGGAAAACGUCAAAGGGAGAUACUUUGGAGUUAGGGAGCCUAAUUUAUUUUCUUCUCUGUUUUUGUUGUCUUAUCUCUGUUUUCUUGGGAAGGGUAGGAGCCUGUCUCUGGACUGUUUGGUGUCCUUGGGAUUUAUGGGAGCCCAACUCUGGGCCUUUCCCUUAUCUUUUCCUGCCUAGCCCCGUCUGUCCCUAACUCAUUCCUGCAUCACUGGGAUGGAGUCCUGCAUCAGGCUCCCUGCAGGGAGCCUGCUUCUCCCUCUCCCAGUCUCUGCCUCUCUCUGUGUAUUUCUCAUGAAUAAAUAAAAUCUUUAAAAAA